RNAcentral lists this ribosomal RNA (253 nucleotides) under uncultured bacterium. RNAcentral describes it as "partial 16S ribosomal RNA". It matches the Rfam family "Bacterial small subunit ribosomal RNA", at positions 524 to 776 of the family's 1533-position model. The record is from RNAcentral.
UACGGAGGGUGCAAGCGUUAUCCGGAUUCACUGGGUUUAAAGGGAGCGCAGGCGGGCUGGUAAGUCAGUGGUGAAAGCCUUGAGCUUAACUCGAGAACUGCCAUCGAUACUAUCAGUCUUGAAUAUUGUUGAGGUUUGCGGAAUGGGUCAUGUAGCGGUGAAAUGCAUAGAUAUGACCCGGAACACCUAUUGCGAAGGCAGCAGGCUAAACAAAGAUUGACGCUGAGGCUCGAAAGCGUGGGGAUCAAACAGG